RNAcentral lists this transfer RNA (75 nucleotides) under Cordylochernes scorpioides. RNAcentral describes it as "tRNA-Thr". Lineage: Eukaryota; Metazoa; Arthropoda; Arachnida; Pseudoscorpiones; Chernetidae. The record is from RNAcentral.
UGUCCAGGGGCGGGAAUCGAACCCACACCCUUCUGCUUACCGGGCAGGUGCCUUGUCCACUAGGCUAUCCUGGAC